AAAUAAGAAGCAUAGAGCAAUUAGUUUCGGCCUAAUCCAUGGUAAUCUCAACUAUUACCCUUAUUUA
This 67-nucleotide transfer RNA is filed under the name Perisphaerus sp. 1 ZQW-2023b. Its description in RNAcentral is "tRNA-Arg". Lineage: Eukaryota; Metazoa; Arthropoda; Insecta; Blattodea; Blaberidae. The record is from RNAcentral.